AGAGUGAACGCUGGCGGUAGGCCUAACACAUGCAAGUCGAACGGCAGCACAGUGGUAGCAAUACCAUGGGUGGCGAGUGGCGGACGGGUGAGGAAUACAUCGGAAUCUACCUUUUCGUGGGGGAUAACGUAGGGAAACUUACGCUAAUACCGCAUACGCCCUUCGGGGGAAAGCCGGGGAUCGCAAGACCUGGCGCGGAUAGAUGAGCCGAUGUCGGAUUAGCUAGUUGGUGAGGUAAUGGCUCACCAAGGCGACGAUCCGUAGCUGGUCUGAGAGGAUGAUCAGCCACACUGGAACUGAGACACGGUCCAGACUCCUACGGGAGGCAGCAGUGGGGGAAAUAUUGGAACAAUGGGGCGCAAAGCCCUG
Molecule: ribosomal RNA, 369 nt
Filed under: uncultured soil bacterium
Lineage: Bacteria
Description: bacterial SSU rRNA
Rfam family: Bacterial small subunit ribosomal RNA
Source: RNAcentral